CCUACGGGAGGCAGCAGUGGGGAAUAUUGCACAAUGGGGGAAACCCUGAUGCAGCGACGCCGCGUGAGUGAAGAAGUAUUUCGGUACGUAAAGCUCUAUCAGCAGGGAAGAAAAAAAGUCCUUUGGACUUUGGACGGUACCUGACCAAGAAGCACCGGCUAACUACGUGCCAGCAGCCGCGGUAAUACGUAGGGGGCAAGCGUUAUCCGGAUUUACUGGGUGUAAAGGGAGCGUAGACGGCCGCGCAAGUCUGGAGGUAAAUGCCGGGGCCCAACCCCGGAACUGCUUUGGAAACUGGGCAGCUGGAGUGCAGGAGAGGUAAGCGGAAUUCCUAGUGUAGCGGUGAAAUGCGUAGAUAUUAGGAGGAACACCAGUGGCGAAGGCGGCUUACUGGACUGUAACUGACGUUGAGGCUCGAAAGCGUGGGGAGCAAACAGGAUUAGAUACCCGUGUAGUC
RNAcentral lists this ribosomal RNA (457 nucleotides) under uncultured bacterium. RNAcentral describes it as "partial 16S ribosomal RNA". It matches the Rfam family "Bacterial small subunit ribosomal RNA", at positions 338 to 795 of the family's 1533-position model. The record is from RNAcentral.